UUUUGCCGGAUGUAGACUCUAGAGUGCCUGAGGAGCAACGACUUGGUUAGUGAGUUCAUAAUUCCAAGUCAAUCAGUCUUCUCUUGAACUAGGUCUUAAUCUUUACGGACUAGCGAGAGGAUCUAACUUG
This 130-nucleotide ribosomal RNA is filed under the name Lichtheimia ramosa. Its description in RNAcentral is "partial 28S ribosomal RNA". The record is from RNAcentral. Lineage: Eukaryota; Fungi; Mucoromycota; Mucoromycetes; Mucorales; Lichtheimiaceae.